ACUGAAGGAUUUGCACUUUCCAUCAAUAAAAAUAGUUCAGUACUCAAGCUUUUGGUAAAUAACUCUUAUAUGUUUAGUUUUGUCUCUUCUUUUUUUAUCUUUUCUUUCACUCCUCCAAAUCAGCCUGUCAACCUGAAAACUAACCAGGAAAUUCAGGACAGUACUGGCUUCUGUACAUUAUAGCCCUUAACUCAAACUCAUCUAUAAUGCCACUCCCACAUGAUGUUUUUCCCUUCCCGCGACGAGGACAGAAUCUUAACCAGACAACCAUCAUUUUGUUGGUUUCAUCCAAUAAUUUCUCUUUGAAAUGGGUGAAUCUCAAUAGAGUGGAACAUGACACAUUUUUUUAACCCAAGAAUCCAAUUAUACCAAAUGAUGUUUCUUUCCUAAUCCUUUACCUCUUUAAAUUCUGACUACAAGGAAUAUAUUCUUAGAAGCCAAGAAAAAGAAAUGCCACAAGGAAGAUCAUUCAAAACCACGUUCAUGAUCCCUUUUUUCUUUUGUUUUUUUUUGUUUUUUUGGGGGAUGGUAUUUAUUGAUCAUAUGGUAAAAGUUAUCCACUUUUGUAGAAGUAAUAUUUACCAGAACAAAACUAAUAAUGAGUUGGUAACUUGUGGGUGGCAAAGAAGAUGAUGAUUAUUAAUAUAUCAUUACAAUGGUGUUGAAUGAUCAAUCUAUAAUGAUGGGAGAGAUGCAGGCUGCAGCAGAGGAAGAAGAAGAAGGAGCCAGUAGUUGCCCUACAAUAGUGGACCAAUUAUCCAUGUAAAAGAAUGUGGGAUUUGAAAGCUUUAUUAGAAGAUGGAAUAGUCUUAAAGGGAGAGCUGUAAAGCAAAAGCAGAGCAGAUGAAAUCUGCUUUUGAUCUUCCUCUUAAAAAAAAAAAGCCAGAGAAAAAUCUACUGCAUCCUCAUCCCCUCCUUCCCUUCUCCCUCUUGCAUAGAAAACAGUGUUUUUUUUUUUUUCUUUUUCUUUAUUGCCAUCUACAAUUUUAAAAUUAUAUUUUGGGAUCCAUAUUGUUGUACCCUUUUAUCUCCUUUUAAUGCAGAGGUGUUUCCCCCUUCAUUUUAUCAAAUUUAAUUGAUCAUUAAAGUUAAGCGACAUUUCUUUUCUUUAAAA
Molecule: long non-coding RNA, 1114 nt
Organism: Cucumis sativus (cucumber)
Lineage: Eukaryota; Viridiplantae; Streptophyta; Magnoliopsida; Cucurbitales; Cucurbitaceae
Exons: 2
Source: RefSeq, a predicted model, not a curated record